AGUGAACGCUGGCGGUAGGCCUAACACAUGCAAGUCGAACGGCAGCACAGUAAGAGCUUGCUCUUACGGGUGGCGAGUGGCGGACGGGUGAGGAAUACAUCGGAAUCUACUUUUUCGUGGGGGAUAACGUAGGGAAACUUACGCUAAUACCGCAUACGACCUACGGGUGAAAGCAGGGGAUCUUCGGACCUUGCGCGAUUGAAUGAGCCGAUGUCGGAUUAGCUAGUUGGCGGGGUAAAGGCCCACCAAGGCGACGAUCCGUAGCUGGUCUGAGAGGAUGAUCAGCCACACUGGAACUGAGACACGGUCCAGACUCCUACGGGAGGCAGCAGUGGGGAAUAUUGGACAAUGGGCACAAGCCUGAUCCAGCCGUACCGCGUGGGUGAAGAAGGCCUUCGGGUUGUAAAGCCCUUUUGUUGGGAAAGAAAAGCAGCAGGUUAAUACCCCGCUGUUCUGACGGUACCCAAAGAAUAAGCACCGGCUAACUUCGUG
This 492-nucleotide ribosomal RNA is filed under the name uncultured bacterium. RNAcentral's name for it is "partial 16S ribosomal RNA". It matches the Rfam family "Bacterial small subunit ribosomal RNA", at positions 29 to 507 of the family's 1533-position model. The record is from RNAcentral.